This 427-nucleotide long non-coding RNA is filed under the name Fukomys damarensis (Damara mole-rat). RNAcentral describes it as "lncRNA (ENSFDAG00000023163.1)". The record is from RNAcentral. Lineage: Eukaryota; Metazoa; Chordata; Mammalia; Rodentia; Bathyergidae.
AACAGUCAGAAUCUAAUGGUAAUUGAAUACCAUUUCUCUUUUAGCAUGUUCUUUUUUCCUCUUCUGGAAGUUGUAGAAUGCUCGCUCCAGCAUCACAUAUACUAAAAUAGAAGUUGAAGACCUCUGUUUAGUUUGACUAUCUGCCAUCUCAAUGAAGCUGCAUCUACAACAUUCAUGUCAUCUGUCACUCCUUCAAUUGUUGGAUCUAUAUCUGAAAUGCCAUACCUGACGUUGUCAUGAUGAGGAAUAGAAGUGGCAGCAGCAGACCCACCAUGCAGCACAGGUCUUCCUGUUUACUCUCUGCCUUCACCCUCAUCUGGAUCAGGUAUCCCUUUUGUUUCUUUCAUAUGCCUGCCAUGCUGACCUUGGACAUCUUUGAUUAUCUCCUUUCCAUAUUGUGAGGUGGGUGUAGGAACUUUGCUUUUCU